UGAGUAAUGUCUGGGAAACUGCCCGAUGGAGGGGGAUAACUACUGGAAACGGUAGCUAAUACCGCAUAACGUCGCAAGACCAAAGUGGGGGACCUUCGGGCCUCAUGCCAUCAGAUGUGCCCAGAUGGGAUUAGCUAGUAGGUGAGGUAAUGGCUCACCUAGGCGACGAUCCCUAGCUGGUCUGAGAGGAUGACCAGCCACACUGGAACUGAGACACGGUCCAGACUCCUACGGGAGGCAGCAGUGGGGAAUAUUGCACAAUGGGCGCAAGCCUGAUGCAGCCAUGCCGCGUGUAUGAAGAAGGCCUUCGGGUUGUAAAGUACUUUCAGCGAGGAGGAAGGCAUUAAGGUUAAUAACCUUAGUGAUUGACGUUACUCGCAGAAGAAGCACCGGCUAACUCCGUGCCAGCAGCCGCGGUAAUACGGAGGGUGCAAGCGUUAAUCGGAAUUACUGGGCGUAAAGCGCACGCAGGCGGUCUGUCAAGUCGGAUGUGAAAUCCCCGGG
RNAcentral lists this ribosomal RNA (504 nucleotides) under uncultured bacterium. RNAcentral describes it as "bacterial SSU rRNA". It matches the Rfam family "Bacterial small subunit ribosomal RNA", at positions 107 to 607 of the family's 1533-position model. The record is from RNAcentral.